CACGUCAUUGAGAAUUCAGUAUUAAGAGUAUACUGCUUUUCUGUACAUGUAACUUGCGGAGAUCUUAUUUUCCAAAUCAACUGUAAGUAUAUUAAAUACAAGAACUGAAAAUAAGAUGUCAAUAUGUCAACUUGGUGAAAAUUAACUUAAAUCUUUGCUGACCAAUAACAUUGGUACUGAUAACCAAGUUUUUAAAAGAAAACAAGGAAAAUAAGUAGACCACUUUCGAGAUCGUUACAAUCCAGUCAAAAACUUUGUCUAUAGAAAACAUGUUUGGUAUCUUAAGAGGCAUCUUCGUUUUAUUCCCAUAUGUAAAUAUAUUAAACCAGCGAUUACAAAAUUAUGAUUUUAUAUAGCUCGAAUAUUGCAGAGGUUCAAAACAUAUGAUUCUAUAAUGCACUAAUAUUUCGACGAAUCAAAAUAUUAUAAUUGAUCAUCACUACUGCUCCCAUUUUGGAAUUGUGAUUAAGUACCUAAGGAACAAAUAUUAUUUCUAGUUUAAUUUGCAUAGUAACAAUAGCGAGGACGCUAGGUGAACUUUAAUAAUGCAAGGAUACAGACGACCCUUUGUAUCUGGUAAAUGACGUUAUAAAAGCGCACAUAGUUGCAAAGUUUUCAAGAAAAGAACAUAACUUGAAAGUGGUCUAUUCAUAAUUGUAGCAUAUUUCGUGCAUAACUUAUCGUUUAUAGAAGAAAUCAAUCGUAGCUAGAAACAAUUUGAAUGACGCCAGUAAGUUUUGAAACUCAUGUCCGUAACUGAGAUAAAAAUCUUUACUAAAUUCUUUCAAAGAUGCCAAGAUUUGGUUAGCAACUUUUGCUGUAUAUGUAUUCAAUUAGUUAUUAUUGGCUUUGAACUAGCUGUCAGUAACUCCAAGUAAUUAUGUACAUAGUGUAUUUUGAGUUGUUAGGGAUGUAGGAUGGAUAUAUACCCUGUCAAGUCCGUUCUAUGCUUUUGUAUACUGAUUUUCUAUAUGUGCAUGUUCCAAAUCAGGAGCCUGUGGUUUAGUGGUCGUCGUUUGUUUACGUCUGUAGACUGACUUAGAUUUUCCAUAACAUUUCGCAUGUUAUACAAUUUAAAUACGGGAAUAGAUGGGUUGACUCUAAAAAAAAAGUUAUAAAUGUUUGCUUAAAAUUAAAUGACAGAUAUUUCGUGCAUGUUCCAAAUAAUCCGGAUAAAGUUUCUGUAAUGUUACUAGAAACAAUGUUUCUAUACCAUAUAUGACUUUUGGAGUGUUAACGUUUCUCUGUACUGAGUUUUAAGUCAGUUAAAAUAUAUGACAAUAUUUUCAAUAUAUAAGAUCUUUGUGUCUUCUUGCAGUCGAGUUUUAGUGACCCUCUGCGAAAUAGGGAUUAUGUCUUUUUUAAAGUCAUUCAUACGGUCAUUGUAUGUACAUUUGUAUUGAUAUAAUAGUUAUUUCCAAUGAAAACAGCCCAAUAGCUUUUUUUAAGAAAUUUUUCAUUUUGAAAACUAUUCAUCCUACCAAAAAAAUUGACUUGUAUUGCUAUAUCCCUAUCAUUAUGAUGAUUUUCUAUUGCUAUGAAUCAUCGAUCGUAACGAUAAAAAUACAAUAUGAAGCCCCAAGAAACAGUAGUGAGUGAUUUGAUCUAUCAGUUACGGAUAUCGAUUACUUUUUGUUAUUCAUUAUUGCGAUAAAAACCUGAUUCUUUUUUUAGCGAAUGAAUUCUUUAAUAAACGGUAUUUGCAAAUAAAAGAACAGUAGUAUAUUCAUAAAUCGAUUGAGAGAAAACAACACAGGUUUAUAAACAAAACCCAAAGGGUACACAUCAACUAUUAGAAGAAAAGAACAAAGAUACUGAAGUGCAACAAAAACAAACACCAAAGCUACAUACAUAGAAAAGAACUAUUUAAUGACAACUGCCAAAUUAUUGACAUGCUACAGGACAUUUUAAGUCAAAAUGGCGGAUUGAACCUGUGUUUGAAGAGAUUCGUUCAUGCGGCUCUUUUAUUUUGGUUAUUGUUACUAUGAUUUUUACAUUUUUCAGAUAUGUGGCCCUGAUUUCUUGUUAUAACUAAAGAUAUGAAGUAUUUUGUCGUGGUAUUGGUAUUUUCACUUUUUGCUACAGGUAACAAAAGUUUAGAUAUCCCAUGCAUGUAGUUUACUGUACACUUACAGUUUGUACCAUUAUUAGAUUUGCCUGCGCUUGAAAUGAUAUGCUAUGAUAGCUAUUUUCUGAACAAACUAGUGAUGAUCAUGAAGUAAUACAUCGUGUAUACUUUAAUACUCAUUGUUUUACACAUGUAAAGUUCACAUCGUUAAAUUGAUUAAAAUUAAAGAACAAGACUUUAUAGUUCUGAUCUGACGAGUCAAGCCUUUUCCGAUUGAUUUGCAUUAUUUAUUCUUAUGAUGUGAUGUUACCAUACUGUCUCAGGAAGUGGAGGGUUAAACGCUCAAUCACCAGUUUAACAUUUAUUCGUGCCAUUUAGGCCUACGUUUGCUUGAUUUUUUUCAUUGAAUAUGAUAUUCUUCGGCACAGAUGAAAAUGUGUCUACCGACAUCUGUAGGUCUGGCCUUUGAAGAAACAUGUUAAUGAUUUUUGAUUUUCUUUUUUGAAUUUUCCUCGGAGUUCAGUAUUUUUGUGUUUUUACUUUUUAAUGAAAACAUACAUAAAGAAUUGGCAUGUAAUAUAUUUGUUUGUGAACAUAAGUAAGCCGGUUAUAUCGUGUAUUAAAUAAAAAUAACAAUCGUAUUUUCAGGAUUGCACGCUGCAAAAAAACGGCAUAUGGGCGACUUUAAUUUUGACCAGUUUUGUCCUCAUGACCCCGCCAGUUGUAAUGGAUGGUGUGUUCGCUUUUUAUUUGAUUUAGGAAGGUGUGAAGGGCCUGGAAACAACCAGUGUUGGUGUUAUUGGUAUCUUAAGUAAGUAAUUCAAACGCAAGUAUAUUUGACUUUGAUUGUUUUUUCAUAGAACGAUUUAAUGAAAAAUAGAAAUGAUAUGGUUUGUAGCAUGUUAUUACUGACAACAAAUGCUUGAGCAACACGAAUUCAAAAGAUUUGGCUGGGAAAGGGGAUGAUUAGCAAUUCCGGCUUACGAGUGGCACAUGAAGGGUUGCUAAUUGCAAGUAGAAAUGCGCUCAUAACUCGGUCAGAUUAAACUUAAGAAAAGGACAGGAUUGUAGCUACGCGAAAUGAAAAAUAUUUAUUGACAUGUACAUUUGUAUCACUUCGGCAAACAAAUUAAAAAUCAUUAAGUUUAUAGCUUGAUUGAAAACAGUAUCAGAAAUAUAAUGAAUUGAAGCACAUGCCCUUGACUUUAUAAGCAACUGGAAUAUAUGUAAUCAAUAUGUAGGCAAUUCUAGAUAUUUGCAACAUGGAAGUUGAAAUUCACAAUGAAACAAUUGAAAUGAUCUGUUUUGUCGUAAAGCUAAGUUAUAAAACCCUCCUUCCCUCUCUAAAUGUAGGUCAAGAUAUGAUGCAUAUUUAACUAUGUCUAUGGUUUCUUUUUACUAAGCUGUAUUUGGCAAAACUUUUCGGAAUUUUGAUCAUCAAAGCUAUUUAACUUUGUACUUUAUUUGGCCUUUUUAACUGAUUCGAGCGUCACUGAUGAGUCUUUGGUAGACGAAACGCGCGUCUGGCUUAAAUACAAAAGUUAAUCUUGGUAUCUAUGAUGAGUUUAUUUUCAGUGUAACAGAUUCAUAACAGUCAUUGCUUUGUGACGUACAUAAUUUAUAAAAUACUUUUGUUUUAUAAAUUCAUGACUUUCGUUGUAUGUAAAUUAACCUACAAAGAUAAAUUGUGCUGUUUUUCCGUUUAGUCAAAUUGCUAUUCAUAUAAUCAUUUAAUACCUUCUGAAGAUAAACCAGCAGGAAAAAAGUUCAUAUUGCAUGGAUUGUUUUGAAUGUUUUUUAUAUGCAAUCAACAUAAUCAGGAAAAUUAAAGAUUAUUGUACACAGUAGGACCUAAUCUUGAAUUUAACUUUUAAAAUACUACUUUCUUUCGAUCAUUCUUAUUGGGUAAUUCCUGUAUGGAAACUGCAUCGUACAAAUACAGAUACAAAUCGACAAAAACAGUGAACACAGUUUGUCCCCCUCAGAAUGCCAAUUCGUCGUUGAAUAACACGUCCUCAUAUAACAUCUAACAUAACAAUAAUGUUGUCACUUAAGAAAAUAUAUCUAAAGCAAGUUUCGAUUUUGUUUAAAUGAGAGUGUAUUGUUUUUACAGAAUGGGGUUUCCCUUUUUAAACUAAAACAUGUACCGUUAUAUCUAAGAACGACUAUUAUCUAUAAAACAAAAUUGGUCAAGUUCCUUCAAUCUGUCUUGGAAGUUUAGAAUGGGGAAGUAUUACAGUAGAGUAGAAUGAAAUCUGUUUGAAAACACUUCAUACACUAGUCUAUAUAUAUAUAUAUAUAUAUAUAUAUAUGACAUGCAGUUCGGUUAUUCAUGGAUGAUGAUAUCAGUUUAACAAUACAUUAUCAAUGAACUUUUUAUUUUUAUUUUCAGAAAACCUAGUCUUCAGGGAAAGUCAGCAAUUUCCUAAGACAAAUAACACUGUUUACAAUGAAU
Molecule: long non-coding RNA, 4523 nt
Filed under: Mytilus galloprovincialis (Mediterranean mussel)
Lineage: Eukaryota; Metazoa; Mollusca; Bivalvia; Mytilida; Mytilidae
Source: RNAcentral